Long non-coding RNA from Apus apus (common swift), 1223 nucleotides. RefSeq lists it as uncharacterized. Lineage: Eukaryota; Metazoa; Chordata; Aves; Apodiformes; Apodidae. The record is from RefSeq and is a predicted model, not a curated record. The transcript is spliced from 2 exons.
CCGUUGGUGGCGGCGGCCGUUGGUGGCGGCGGCCGUUGGUGGCGGCGGCCGUUAGGGCGGGGCGGCCCCGCGGGGCUGUGCGUGCCUGGCGGGCGGCGGGGGCUGCGGGACCGACCGGCUGGCGGCACGGGUCUGUGGGCUGCACGCUUAAACGUCUGCAUGCGGAUAUAGGUGUAUAUGGAGUUCGACAAGGCCGAGCGCAAGGGAGAACAUGAAGCUGGCUGGGAAGAGCUGAGAGGCUCCCCUUGGUGCUGCUACCCCUCAGAGCUAGCUCCUGCAGGUCUCACCUGUGCACCACAAGGGCGAGGGUCUGCCAAGUUGGAGAUGGAGCCCUGGGAGGGGGAAGGGUGGGGGAGAUGGCAGGCAAUGCCCCAGGUGCUGAAAUGCCUCCUUGGUCUAUGCCGGUUUUUUUCAGUGCUCAGCUCUUCCUUGCUUUCUGCCUCUCAUGCUGCAAUGGUGCUAAGCUUGCUCUUUCCUUCCGCUGGGAAGCGAGCAGGUGUUCCUGGGCCUCAGCUUCUGGUAGAAAGGUCUGACUGCCUGUUGUCUCACAGCCUGCUGAGCUGCACUGGGUUCUGUGCUGGGGACACACCAUUUCGUUCUUCCAAAGUUGUAUCUUCAUGGGAGAUACACCCUGCACAACAACUUCCUUUUUCAAAUACUGGCUGUAUGUGUUGGGCUUCUGUAAAGGACUGAGCUGUUGCUCCGUGGCUCAACAUUGUUCUCUUAAACAUUGCUUUAGCUUGUGUAAAGGAAGGAAACCUCGGGGCUUGAACAGACUUUAUAAGCAAGCUUGUUGCUUUGGCUUGUAUGAAGGAAAGAAACAGCAAAGUUAACGACACUUGUGUGAAGAUCCUGUUAAGCCUGAGAAGCACAAAAACUGUCUGAGUCAGGAACACAAAGCACAACAUUACCUGUCAUGGAGACGAAGCACAAAACCACCUGAAUCACAAAGGAGGAGGCAAUGGAAAUUAGUCCUGACCCAAGAAGAGGUGGAGAAUGGACGGGGACAGUGACUCUGAAAGGGCUGUGCCACAGGAAGGAUCUUCCCCACUGACUGCAGCAACCGGACCUCUGGGACGCUGCUGAAUCCAUCGUAGUAACUAUCCUAUCUCUUGCAAUUCUCAGUAUUUCUGCUUUCUCCCCUCCUGUCUGUCUUUCUCUCUGCCGUAUCCACCUCAAUGACCUUUAUUCUGGAACUUCAAUAAAGUUUGGUGUGUACAUGA